Molecule: ribosomal RNA, 439 nt
Filed under: uncultured bacterium
Lineage: Bacteria
Description: bacterial SSU rRNA
Rfam family: Bacterial small subunit ribosomal RNA
Source: RNAcentral
UGGGGAAUAUUGCGCAAUGGGCGAAAGCCUGACGCAGCGACGCCGCGUGAGGGAUGAAGGUUUUCGGAUCGUAAACCUCUGUCAGAAGGGAAGAAGUUGCAUGGGGCCAAUCACCUGUGCAUUGACGGUACCUUCAAAGGAAGCACCGGCUAACUCCGUGCCAGCAGCCGCGGUAAUACGGAGGGUGCAGCGUUAAUCGGAAUUACUGGGCGUAAAGCGCACGUAGGCUGUAUGUCAAGUCAAGGGUGAAAUCCCACGGCUCAACCGUGGAACUGCCUUUGAAACUGGCAAACUGGAGUAUGUGAGAGGGCGGCGGAAUUCCUGGUGUAGGAGUGAAAUCCGUAGAUAUCAGGAGGAACAUCAGUGGCGAAGGCGGCCGCCUGGCACAAAACUGACGCUGAGGUGCGAAAGCGUGGGGUAGCAAACAGGAUUAGAUACC